This 253-nucleotide ribosomal RNA is filed under the name uncultured bacterium. Its description in RNAcentral is "partial 16S ribosomal RNA". It matches the Rfam family "Bacterial small subunit ribosomal RNA", at positions 524 to 776 of the family's 1533-position model. The record is from RNAcentral.
GACGUAGGGCGCGAGCGUUGUCCGGAUUUAUUGGGCGUAAAGAGCUCGUAGGCGGCUUGUUGCGUCGGCUGUGAAAACCCAUGGCUCAACCGUGGGCUUGCAGCCGAUACGGGCAGGCUAGAGUUCGGUAGGGGAGACUGGAAUUCCUGGUGUAGCGGUGAAAUGCGCAGAUAUCAGGAGGAACACCGGUGGCGAAAGCGGCUCUCUGGGACGGUACUGACGCUGAGACGCGAAAGCGUGGGGAGCAAACAGG